RNAcentral lists this ribosomal RNA (468 nucleotides) under uncultured bacterium. RNAcentral's name for it is "partial 16S ribosomal RNA". It matches the Rfam family "Bacterial small subunit ribosomal RNA", at positions 28 to 507 of the family's 1533-position model. The record is from RNAcentral.
GACGAACGCUGGCGGCGUGCUUAACACAUGCAAGUCGAACGGAAAGGCCCUGCUUUUGUGUGGUGCUUGAGUGGCGAACGCGUGAGUAACACGUGUGUAACCUGCACUUAACUGUGGGAUAUCUUUAGGAAACUGGGGCUAUUAUCGCAUAUGAUAUUCUGCUGCAUGUUGGGGGUUGGUAAGUUUCGGCGGUGGUGUAUGGACUCGAGGCUUACCGGCUUCUUUGUCAGGUAGUUGCGUACCAAGGUUAUGACGGCUAGCCGGCCUAGGAGGGUGGCCGGCGACAUGGGGACUAAGGUACGGCCCAGAAUCCUACGGGAGGCAGCAGUGGGGAAUAUUGCAGAAUGAGCGGACGCGUGAUGCAGCAACCCCGCGUGCGGGAUGACGGCUUUCGGGUUGUAAACCGCUUUCGCCUGUGACGAAGCGUGAGUGACGGUAAUGGGUAAAGAAGCCCCGGCUAACUACGUG